AUAAAAACAAUGAUUAAGAGGAGUAGUCGGUAUAAGCCCUAAGAGAGGAAAGGUCAGCGGCUGAAAGCCUUACCGGGAUAGGAUCGAUGAAGGUAGCUUAUGAGUUUAGUAAUCGAAAUUGGUUUGUAUCUUUAGUAGGUUAUUACGGCAGCGGACCGUUACUUCGCGAAAGAGCCCUUGUUGGGAAUUAUGGUGGUACCGCGGAAAUAUGCCUUUCGUCCAUUUG
RNAcentral lists this non-coding RNA (226 nucleotides) under Pseudobacteroides cellulosolvens. RNAcentral describes it as "T-box sequence". It matches the Rfam family "T-box leader". Rfam says of the family: Uncharged tRNA acts as the effector for transcription antitermination of genes in the T-box leader family. T-boxes are found upstream of many aminoacyl-tRNA synthetase genes and some amino acid biosynthetic genes usually in Gram-positive bacteria. Lineage: Bacteria; Bacillati; Bacillota; Clostridia; Eubacteriales; Oscillospiraceae. The record is from RNAcentral.